RNAcentral lists this ribosomal RNA (460 nucleotides) under uncultured bacterium. RNAcentral's name for it is "partial 16S ribosomal RNA". It matches the Rfam family "Bacterial small subunit ribosomal RNA", at positions 338 to 795 of the family's 1533-position model. The record is from RNAcentral.
CCUACGGGAGGCAGCAGUGAGGAAUAUUGGUCAAUGGACGAGAGUCUGAACCAGCCAAGUAGCGUGAAGGAUGACUGCCCUAUGGGUUGUAAACUUCUUUUAUAUGGGAGUAAAAUGUUCCACGUGUGGGAUUUUGUAUGUACCAUAUGAAUAAGGAUCGGCUAACUCCGUGCCAGCAGCCGCGGUAAUACGGUGGAUCUGAGCGUUAUCCGGAUUGAUUGGGUUUAAGGGGAGCGUAGGUGGAUUGUUAAGUCAGUUGUGAAAGUUUGCGGCUAAACCGUAAAAUUGCAGUUGAAACUGGCAGUCUUGAGUACAGUAGAGGUGGGCGGAAUUCGUGGUGUAGCGGUGAAAUGCUUAGAUAUCACGAAGAACUCCGAUUGCGAAGGCAGCUCACUGGACUGCAACUGACACUGAGGCUCGAAAGUGUGGGUAUCAAACAGGAUUAGAUACCCUUGUAGUC